Molecule: unclassified non-coding RNA, 912 nt
Filed under: Hevea brasiliensis (rubber tree)
Lineage: Eukaryota; Viridiplantae; Streptophyta; Magnoliopsida; Malpighiales; Euphorbiaceae
Source: RNAcentral
GCUUCAGGCAACAUAAUCUGAUAUGAAUACUGAGUGUGAACAUCGAUGGAUGACAUGAAACAAGAUUGCGUCGGAUGUGUAUGAAUCCACCCAAGAGGAAACAAUGAUUGCUUAUCUUGAACUUCAAAUAUUUCCUCCUCAUUUGUAGUUUGACACGAAUCUGAUGUCGAUUCCUGCUUAGGAAUGAUCAAAGCAGUGAUGUAAAAUUUUCGGUUUUUUAGUGAUCCAGCAAGAACACCACAGGUUUCAAGAUUUUUGUUAGUAUUGGACUUGGCUAACUUCAUGAAAGUAUCCAUAACAGAUGCUGAAAUGUGCAAUUGCAGGGGAUCUUCAGAACAGAUUAGACCAUCAGGUGAUGAUUUAACUAAUCCACAUUCCACCUCUUCGAUUGGACAUGCUGCAGUUGGCAUCAAAUCUUGUACCUCCGCAAGAACAGGUGGAGGAGAAGGCUGUCUAAUGAUUUCUGAUUGUAGAGGGCUUUCUUCUGAAUCAAAGGAAAUCAAUGAAGCAGGUUCCUCAAGACGUAGCACUGGCUUGUCACUGUUGACUGGUAACAUUAAUUCCUGGCAUGGUUUCCCACAUUCUGAACUGAUAUUAUCCUUCUUAUCAGAAGAUUCACUUUCCAGAGGCUGCUUCAGGAGGCUGGGGAUCAGAACAGGGGUGAAGUCAACAUUACUUGGAUAAGACACCCCUCUGUCACUAGCUGGAAGCUGCAACUGUCCUCGAAGCCCAUUCGGACCCAAGAUGGAAUGUCUGUUCAGGGUUUCAUCCGUUGGACGGGGAAUACUAAGUGACAAACGGCGGAUAUGCUCAUCUACAGGCUUCACAGGUAAAAACUGUGUGGUUUUGGGAACUUGAUACCCAAAUUCUCGAACAGGUGCCGCUAUCUUAUUUGUCCCCCAAGCCCUAAAG